UACGAAGGGGGCUAGCGUUGUUCGGAAUUCCUGGGCGUAAAGCGUAUGCAGGCGGAUCGUUAAGUCGGGGGUGAAAUCCCGAGGCUCAACCUCGGAACUGCCUUCGAUACUGGCGAUCUUGAGUCCGGGAGAGGUGAGUGGAACUCCGAGUGUAGAGGUGAAAUUCGUAGAUAUUCGGAAGAACACCAGUGGCGAAGGCGGCUCACUGGCCCGGUACUGACGCUGAGGAGCGAAAGCGUGGGGAGCGAACAGG
RNAcentral lists this ribosomal RNA (253 nucleotides) under uncultured bacterium. RNAcentral's name for it is "partial 16S ribosomal RNA". It matches the Rfam family "Bacterial small subunit ribosomal RNA", at positions 524 to 776 of the family's 1533-position model. The record is from RNAcentral.